RNAcentral lists this ribosomal RNA (484 nucleotides) under uncultured bacterium. Its description in RNAcentral is "partial 16S ribosomal RNA". It matches the Rfam family "Bacterial small subunit ribosomal RNA", at positions 30 to 507 of the family's 1533-position model. The record is from RNAcentral.
AUUGAACGCUGGCGGAAUGCUUUACACAUGCAAGUCGAACGGCAGCACGGGGGCAACCCUGGUGGCGAGUGGCGAACGGGUGAGUAAUACAUCGGAACGUGCCCGGUCGUGGGGGAUAACGUAGCGAAAGUUACGCUAAUACCGCAUACGAUCUGAGGAUGAAAGCGGGGGACCUUCGGGCCUCGCGCGAUCGGAGCGGCCGAUGUCAGAUUAGGUAGUUGGUGGGGUAAAGGCCUACCAAGCCGACGAUCUGUAGCUGGUCUGAGAGGACGACCAGCCACACUGGGACUGAGACACGGCCCAGACUCCUACGGGAGGCAGCAGUGGGGAAUUUUGGACAAUGGGCGCAAGCCUGAUCCAGCCAUUACGCGUGCAGGACGAAGGCCUUCGGGUUGUAAACUGCUUUUGUAUGGAACGAAAAGGCUCUGGCUAAUACCUGGGGCUCAUGACGGUACCGUAAGAAUAAGCACCGGCUAACUACGUG